UCAAACUUCCACCAAAAACCCAGAACCCUCAACCUAACAAACGAAAAAUUCAUCCAUAUACAAGUUCUAUCAACGAGCAAAAACAAAAUCAACAUUCAAAUGAAUCAAAUCCACCAUUUUUUCACAGUACCCUUUAUACACAUGUUCGACGAAAUUCCUCAACGAGCACAACACCACAAAAAGGUUCAAACUUCAACAAAAACCCAGAACCCUUAACAGAUUCAAAAUCCCCCCCAACAUAAACCUUCACCAACCACAGAAACCCAACAAAAAAAUCACAUCAUCCAAUACAAAAACGAACCCAGAACGGAUAAACAGACAGUAAAACAGAGAGCUUUACCGGCGGAGUGAAGCUGUGAAAGGACGGCGGAGAAAGUGAGGAAGAUUCA
This 389-nucleotide long non-coding RNA is filed under the name Linum usitatissimum (flax). Its description in RNAcentral is "long non-coding RNA (LUSI_LNC001389)". The record is from RNAcentral. Lineage: Eukaryota; Viridiplantae; Streptophyta; Magnoliopsida; Malpighiales; Linaceae.